This 71-nucleotide transfer RNA is filed under the name Anguilla anguilla (European eel). It matches the Rfam family "tRNA". Rfam says of the family: Transfer RNA (tRNA) molecules are approximately 80 nucleotides in length. The record is from Rfam by way of RNAcentral. Lineage: Eukaryota; Metazoa; Chordata; Actinopteri; Anguilliformes; Anguillidae.
GCAUUGGUGGCUCGGUGGUAGAGCUCCCGCCUGGCACGCCGGUGGCCCGGGUUCGUGUCCCGGGCAAUGCC